This is a long non-coding RNA of Gambusia affinis (western mosquitofish), 677 nucleotides long. RefSeq lists it as uncharacterized. NCBI's taxonomy places the organism in Eukaryota, Metazoa, Chordata, Actinopteri, Cyprinodontiformes, Poeciliidae. The record is from RefSeq and is a predicted model, not a curated record. The transcript is spliced from 3 exons.
UUGCACGUCAGCUUCCGUGUUCGGGUAAAAGCGGCUCGGUCGGUUCCGUGCUUUCAGGGCCAGUCAAGCUAACAAUUAAUAAAAGUUCCUCGAUCCGAAGCUCCAAAAGUAAGCUGGAGCAAAGAAGUACACCUCGUUAUACGUUCACGGAUACAAAGUGUCAAACAGACCAAACAACUUUACGGUUCGGACUUUUUGCUUCCGAACCAAGAGGACCGCGGUCCUCGAGGGCCGCAGAUGUGCCUCUGCUGCACCACCCCCGAAUAAGGCUCUGGAGAACUGGUCUACACAAGGUGGAGAGUGAAGAGGAUGGCUCCUAUCACUGCAUAGAUGGCGUGUAACCAGGGAACCUGUGAUGCAAGACAACCACCAUCACCAAACACAGUCAGCGUGCUAAUUUUAGCAGAAGACAGUAGAGACCAAGACUAUCUGCUGGGUCAAUCCCCUCUCACUGACGCAUAAGUGGAUACAGCCAGCAGCACCUGAAGCAUUAAGCUGCAACUGUUGUUUAACUCAUCAUUAUCCUGGGCUAAAUUAGCCUUCUUCUGGAAGGCCCCGGAUUAAAAAAAGGAAAGAAAAGAGGGGUGACAUACAUAUCCGAAGGGGACGACGAUGGAGAUGGUAAUAGCACAGAGAAGCAUGGCCAUACACAGAGAGAACAGCACGCCCUGGCAGGA